Molecule: ribosomal RNA, 279 nt
Filed under: uncultured bacterium
Lineage: Bacteria
Description: partial 16S ribosomal RNA
Rfam family: Bacterial small subunit ribosomal RNA
Source: RNAcentral
UGCCAGCUGCCGCGGUAAUACGUAGGGAGCGAGCGUUAUCCGGAAUUAUUGGGCGUAAAGCGUGCGUAGGCGGUUUACUAAGUCAAAUCUGAAAGCCCUCGGCUUAACUGUGGAGGGUGAUUUGAAACUGGCGAGCUUGAGUACGGCAGAGGUUAGUGGAAUUCAAUGUGUAGCGGUGGAAUGCGUAGAUAUAUUGAGGAACACCAGUGGCGAAGGCGGCUAACUGGACCGGAACUGACGCUGAUGCACGAAAGCGUGGGUAGCAAACAGGAUUAGAUA